Molecule: ribosomal RNA, 492 nt
Filed under: uncultured fungus
Lineage: Eukaryota; Fungi
Description: eukaryotic LSU rRNA
Rfam family: 5.8S ribosomal RNA (bases 81-234)
Source: RNAcentral
CCGCCGGGGACUUUCCCAAAAUGCUGCUUUGUCGGUUCGGGGGUUGUGGUCUGAGUGAAGGAUGAUAAUAGAUCAACCAAAACUUUCAACAACGGAUCUCUUGGUUCCGGCAUCGAUGAAGAACGCAGCGAAAUGCGAUAGGUAAUGCGAAUUGCAGAAUUCCGCGAGUCAUCGAAUCUUUGAACGCACAUUGCACCCCUCGGCUCUCCGGGGGGCAUGCCUGUCCGAGCGUCAUCACUAUCCCCUCGAGCCUUUGGCUUGGUCGUUGGGUCAUUGUCCCUCCCACGCUCUAAGGGGGAGGGACAGGCCCGAAAGGUAGUGGUAGCUCUGGGAGCGGUCCACGGGCGGUGGUGCAGACGAGGGAAGUCUCUCUUCUACCGCCCCGGUGGGUUGUGCCUAGUGGCUUUGCCGGAGAGUGUCGGUUUCGGGGAGGAGUCCGCUCCCCCCCUUCAGGUUGACCUCGGAUCAGGUAGGGAUACCCGCUGAACUUAA